This is a long non-coding RNA of Manis pentadactyla (Chinese pangolin), 237 nucleotides long. RefSeq lists it as uncharacterized. NCBI's taxonomy places the organism in Eukaryota, Metazoa, Chordata, Mammalia, Pholidota, Manidae. The transcript is spliced from 3 exons. The record is from RefSeq and is a predicted model, not a curated record.
GUAAUGGAUUGUCCUGGAAGUCCCUACACAGGGGACAGACACCUAACACUCAGAGCCAAAGAGUCGAAGUUGCUAUGGCUGUGGCUGCCAAGACAGAUGCUGUGUUGGAGUCCAGGCUUCCUGGACGGCUGCAGUAUUUUGGAUGGAAAUCAGAAACCUUUAAGGCAGCAAUGGAAGAACAAACACAUUUUUUCUAGGAACAACGUUGCUUCUACUCUGGAACAAGAGAAACCUGGU